RNAcentral lists this ribosomal RNA (448 nucleotides) under uncultured bacterium. RNAcentral describes it as "bacterial SSU rRNA". It matches the Rfam family "Bacterial small subunit ribosomal RNA", at positions 355 to 796 of the family's 1533-position model. The record is from RNAcentral.
UCGAGAAUUUUUCACAAUGGGGGAAACCCUGAUGGAGCGACGCCGCGUGGGGGAUGAAUGGCUUCGGCCCGUAAACCCCUGUCAUUUGCGAACAAAUUGGUUCAAUUAACACCUGAACCAUUGAUAGUAGCGGAAGAGGAAGGGACGGCUAACUCUGUGCCAGCAGCCGCGGUAAUACAGAGGUCCCAAGCGUUGUUCGGAUUCACUGGGCGUAAAGGGUGCGUAGGCGGUCGGGUAAGUCUGAUGUGAAAGCUCUGGGCUUAACCCAGAAAUGGCAUUGGAUACUAUUCGGCUUGAGAGUUGGAGGGGGGACUGGAAUUCUUGGUGUAGCAGUGAAAUGCGUAGAUAUCAAGAGGAACACCAGUGGCGAAGGCGAGUCCCUGGACAACUUCUGACGCUGAGGCACGAAAGCUAGGGGAGCAAACAGGAUUAGAUACCCCUGUAGUCC